RNAcentral lists this ribosomal RNA (161 nucleotides) under uncultured soil bacterium. RNAcentral's name for it is "partial 16S ribosomal RNA". It matches the Rfam family "Bacterial small subunit ribosomal RNA", at positions 26 to 185 of the family's 1533-position model. The record is from RNAcentral.
AGAUUGAACGCUGGCGGCAUGCCUUACACAUGCAAGUCGAACGGCAGCACGGACUUCGGUCUGGUGGCGAGUGGCGAACGGGUGAGUAAUAUAUCGGAACGUACCCUGGAGUGGGGGGAUAACGCAGCGAAAGUUGCGCUAAUACCGCAUACGAUCUACGG